RNAcentral lists this ribosomal RNA (447 nucleotides) under uncultured bacterium. RNAcentral describes it as "bacterial SSU rRNA". It matches the Rfam family "Bacterial small subunit ribosomal RNA", at positions 355 to 825 of the family's 1533-position model. The record is from RNAcentral.
UGGGGAAUAUUGCACAAUGGGCGAAAGCCUGAUGCAGCAAUGCCGCGUGUGUGAAGAAGGCCUGCGGGUUGUAAAGCACUUUCGGUAGGGAAGAUAAUGACGGUACCUACAGAAGAAGCACCGGCUAACUCCGUGCCAGCAGCCGCGGUAAUACGGAGGGUGCUAGCGUUGUUCGGAAUCACUGGGCGUAAAGCGCACGUAGGCGGAUUUGUUAGUCAGGGGUGAAAUCCCGGGGCUCAACCUCGGAACUGCCUCUGAUACUGCAAAUCUCGAGUCCGAUAGAGGUGAGUGGAAUUCCUAGUGUAGAGGUGAAAUUCGUAGAUAUUAGGAAGAACACCAGUGGCGAAGGCGGCUCACUGGAUCGGUACUGACGCUGAGGUGCGAAAGCGUGGGGAGCAAACAGGAUUAGAUACCCCCGUAGUCCCUGAGCGGGCUGGCAAGGCGCAU